RNAcentral lists this transfer RNA (67 nucleotides) under Marmota monax (woodchuck). RNAcentral's name for it is "tRNA.Ala". Lineage: Eukaryota; Metazoa; Chordata; Mammalia; Rodentia; Sciuridae. The record is from RNAcentral.
GGUUGUGGUUCAGUGGGAGAGUGCUUACCUAGCAUGUGUGAGGCACUGGGUUCAAUUCUCAGCACCA